CCCCUUGUAGCUCAGUCGGUAAAGAAUCUGCCUGCAAUGCAGGAGACUCAGGUUUGAUCCCUGGGAUGGGAA
This 72-nucleotide transfer RNA is filed under the name Ovis aries (sheep). It matches the Rfam family "tRNA". Rfam says of the family: Transfer RNA (tRNA) molecules are approximately 80 nucleotides in length. Their secondary structure includes four short double-helical elements and three loops (D, anti-codon, and T loops). Further hydrogen bonds mediate the characteristic L-shaped molecular structure. tRNAs have two regions of fundamental functional importance: the anti-codon, which is responsible for specific mRNA codon recognition, and the 3' end, to which the tRNAs corresponding amino acid is attached (by aminoacyl-tRNA synthetases). tRNAs cope with the degeneracy of the genetic code in two manners: having more than one tRNA (with a specific anti-codon) for a particular amino acid; and 'wobble' base-pairing, i.e. permitting non-standard base-pairing at the 3rd anti-codon position. Lineage: Eukaryota; Metazoa; Chordata; Mammalia; Artiodactyla; Bovidae. The record is from Rfam by way of RNAcentral.